Myiozetetes cayanensis is the source of this 419-nucleotide long non-coding RNA. RefSeq lists it as uncharacterized. The record is from RefSeq and is a predicted model, not a curated record. NCBI's taxonomy places the organism in Eukaryota, Metazoa, Chordata, Aves, Passeriformes, Tyrannidae. The transcript has 3 exons.
GAUUGUUGGGGUGAGGAGACCCCCAUGCGGCUCACAGAAGAGCUUGUGGAUGUACAAGGAAGCCGAGACUUCAUGAGAAGGACUGAAAUGAGGCAGAGUCCUGUUGAAGAUUUAUGACCCCGAGAGGGAUGAGGCUUACGCCGGAGUGAGAACGGCUCGGGGUUAAAGGAAUGCAACAAAUUAAGAUCAAGAUUUCCAGAGGUAACCACUACUACUUUAGUCUCUUAGGUGGUUGGUCAGAGACCUUUAAAACCCAAUUUUGAAGAGAGUCACAUGCCCACAAUUCCAGAUGAAUAUGAAAGAAUCUGAAGAAUUCAAAGCAUAGACCACAAGAUCAUCACUAAGCAGUCUCACAAGUCUAGACUGGACUGGAACAUCCACCUUGUUCAAAUAAAGAAGGAAGAAACUGUCAGUCAGCC